UUUACAUGUAUCCCUGAUCUUGACACCUUUUGAUCAGACUUCAUAUCUCUAUCUACUCUUUACUUUUUUACUUGUCUCAGUCAUUUGACUGUGGCCAUGCUGGAGCACCGCCUUUAGUCGAGCAAAUCGACCCCAGGACUUAUUCUUUGUAAGCCUAGUACUUAUU
Molecule: long non-coding RNA, 166 nt
Organism: Octopus sinensis (East Asian common octopus)
Lineage: Eukaryota; Metazoa; Mollusca; Cephalopoda; Octopoda; Octopodidae
Exons: 3
Source: RefSeq, a predicted model, not a curated record